AACGAACGCUGGCGGCAUGCCUAACACAUGCAAGUCGAACGAGACCUUCGGGUCUAGUGGCGCACGGGUGCGUAACGCGUGGGAACCUGCCCUUAGGUUCGGAAUAACUCCCCGAAAGGGGUGCUAAUACCGGAUAAUGUCUUCGGACCAAAGAUUUAUCGCCUUUGGAUGGGCCCGCGUUGGAUUAGCUAGUUGGUAGGGUAAAAGCCUACCAAGGCGACGAUCCAUAGCUGGUCUGAGAGGAUGAUCAGCCACACUGGGACUGAGACACGGCCCAGACUCCUACGGGAGGCAGCAGGGGGGAAUAUGGGACAAUGGGCGAAAGCCUGAUCCAGCAAUGCCGCGGGAGUGAUGAAGGCCUAGGGUUGUAAAGCUCUUUUACCCGGGAUGAUAAUGACAGUACCGGGAGAAUAAGCUCCGGCUAACUCCGUG
Molecule: ribosomal RNA, 432 nt
Filed under: uncultured bacterium
Lineage: Bacteria
Description: partial 16S ribosomal RNA
Rfam family: Bacterial small subunit ribosomal RNA
Source: RNAcentral